GUUUCCGUAUGUUCAUGGAUUUGAGUGUUACUACACGGUAAUGCUACAUAAUAAAUAAAAUGUAUAUUCAUGGCAUACUGCGGUUCAAAACAUGCCGGCAAGCAGUUUCCAAAAGAUGGAGUUCUUCAGUAAACAAAACACACAAAAAACAAUCAUGGCUGAAACCAUAGAGAUGUAAACAUAGUCAACAUUUUCAUUACAGCAUGUCACAAACUCCAUGUGACUGUGAAAUGAAUACAAUAUGCUAAACAAAGCCAAGCGUAUAGUGAGUAGGCUGAAAUUGAUAUGCUGUAAACAAGAAGUACGAUAAGUGCCACAAGGGGGGAAAAAGUAGUGGAGUGCAGGGAUUGCAACAUGCAAGUGCCAUGAAAUAUUGUUCUGUCUGUAGUUCUCUGUACUCCUCUACAAACGUUGUCUUUCUAAUUUACAAACGUUGUCUUUAUAAUACAUUUCUGUUUUGCUCCAAAUAGCUUACCUUUACGCAUGCUGUGAGCUAACAGUGAUGAGCAUAGCUUGAGUGAGACAUUCAAAAAUACAUUCACAAGCACAUUUUGUGAGAUCUGCACCGUUCAAAUGUGGCCUGUAACAAAGGCUGGAACACCCUCCCCCCAUAAAAGACAUCCAAGGCAUUUGAGAAGUAUGUAACAAGCAUUUAUGAUAUUUUAGCUGAGAUGAUAGUUGUUGAAAAUUCGUAUUCUUCCCUGCAGUAAAUUGCGUUGCCAGUUGAACCUCAGAAAUAUCAUUGUUUUGGGUCUUCUGAGUCUUUUCAUUCAGUAUGACAGGAGUACAGAUACUGUCACUAGGACAUUAACAAGGCAAUUCCUGAAAAGCUAAUUUCACUCAUUCAUACGCCUUGUUAAUGUUAAUUUGACCUCAUGCAUCACUGCAUUUAAAAGUGUUUGAAGGUUGCUAUCUAUUUGAGGAUUAAUUUAAUAAUUUUGUGGGGGAAUAAUUUAACAAUAUAUAUAUAUUUUUUAUCUCUGGAUGAACCUAUUUAAAUCCAGUUGCAGACUAUCUUUCAAUCAUUGUGCAUGCACAACACCAAGUGUGAAUGAAAAAAAUGUAUUCCGUUAGUAGUUCAUAUGUGUGUACUUUUGCCCUCAAUAUUUGUCUAGAUAUCCUGUUUGGCACUAGAUGAAAAUGGAGGGAAAACACCAGCAAGAAUAUUGGCAGCGCGAAGGGAUGUUUUUGACAGAACGAAUGUACAACGUUACACAUACACUACCGGUCAAAAGUUUUAGAGCACCUACUCAUUCAAGGGUUUUUCUUUAUUUUGACUAUUUUCUACAUUGUAGAAUAACAGUGAAGACAUCAAAACUAUGAAAUAACACAUAUGGAAUCAUGUAAUAACCAAAAAAGUGUUAAACAAAUC
RNAcentral lists this long non-coding RNA (1372 nucleotides) under Salmo salar (Atlantic salmon). RNAcentral's name for it is "lncRNA (ENSSSAG00000093475.1)". The record is from RNAcentral. Lineage: Eukaryota; Metazoa; Chordata; Actinopteri; Salmoniformes; Salmonidae.